GAUGAACGCUGGCGGCGUGCCUAAUACAUGCAAGUCGAGCGAACGGACGAGAAGCUUGCUUUUCUGAUGUUAGCGGCGGACGGGUGAGUAACACGUGGAUAACCUACCUAUAAGACUGGGAUAACUUCGGGAAACCGGAGCUAAUACCGGAUAAUAUUUUGAACCGCAUGGUUCAAAAGUGAAAGACGGUCUUGCUGUCACUUAUAGAUGGAUCCGCGCUGCAUUAGCUAGUUGGUAAGGUAACGGCUUACCAAGGCAACGAUGCAUAGCCGACCUGAGAGGGUGAUCGGCCACACUGGAACUGAGACACGGUCCAGACUCCUACGGGAGGCUGCAGUAGGGAAUCUUCCGCAAAGGGCGAAAGCCUGACGGAGCAACGCCGCGUGAGUGAUGAAGGUCUUCGGAUCGUAAAACUCUGUUAUUAGGGAAGAACAUAUGUGUAAGUAACUGUGCACAUCUUGACGGUACCUAAUCAGAAAGCCACGGCUAACUACGUG
RNAcentral lists this ribosomal RNA (497 nucleotides) under uncultured bacterium. RNAcentral describes it as "partial 16S ribosomal RNA". It matches the Rfam family "Bacterial small subunit ribosomal RNA", at positions 28 to 507 of the family's 1533-position model. The record is from RNAcentral.